RNAcentral lists this ribosomal RNA (546 nucleotides) under uncultured Pseudomonas sp. RNAcentral describes it as "bacterial SSU rRNA". It matches the Rfam family "Bacterial small subunit ribosomal RNA", at positions 517 to 1061 of the family's 1533-position model. The record is from RNAcentral. Lineage: Bacteria; Pseudomonadati; Pseudomonadota; Gammaproteobacteria; Pseudomonadales; Pseudomonadaceae.
GCGGUAAUACGAAGGGUGCAAGCGUUACUCGGAAUUACUGGGCGUAAAGCGUGCGUAGGUGGUCGUUUAAGUCCGUUGUGAAAGCCCUGGGCUCAACCUGGGAACUGCAGUGGAUACUGGGCGACUAGAGUGUGGUAGAGGGUAGCGGAAUUCCUGGUGUAGCAGUGAAAUGCGUAGAGAUCAGGAGGAACAUCCAUGGCGAAGGCAGCUACCUGGACCAACACUGACACUGAGGCACGAAAGCGUGGGGAGCAAACAGGAUUAGAUACCCUGGUAGUCCACGCCCUAAACGAUGCGAACUGGAUAUUGGGUGCAAUUUGGCACGCAGUAUCGAAGCUAACGCGUUAAGUUCGCCGCCUGGGGAGUACGGUCGCAAGACUGAAACUCAAAGGAAUUGACGGGGGCCCGCACAAGCGGUGGAGUAUGUGGUUUAAUUCGAUGCAACGCGAAGAACCUUACCUGGCCUUGACAUGUCGAGAACUUUCCAGAGAUAGAUUGGUGCCUUCGGGAACUCGAACACAGGUGCUGCAUGGCUGUCGUCAGCUC